UUUCCGUAGGUGAACCUGCGGAAGGAUCAUUAUUGUAUAACCGAGGUGCGAGGGCUGUCGCUGACCCGAAAGGUCGUGCACGCCCGAGUGCCCUCACACGCAUCCAUCUCACCCCUAUGUGCACCACCGCGUGGGUCCCUCUUUGGCUUGUUCGGAGGGGGGCUUACGUUUUCACACAAACUUUGUAUGCAGUGUAGAAUGUAUUUUUUGUUUUUGCGAUCACGCAAUCAAUACAACUUUCAACAACGGAUCUCUUGGCUCUC
RNAcentral lists this unclassified non-coding RNA (263 nucleotides) under plant metagenome. RNAcentral's name for it is "partial contains small subunit ribosomal RNA, internal transcribed spacer 1, and 5.8S ribosomal RNA". The record is from RNAcentral.